UACGUAGGGGGCAAGCGUUGUCCGGAUUUAUUGGGCGUAAAGAGCGUGUAGGCGGUUUGGUAGGUCCGCUGUGAAAGUCGGGGGCUCAACCCUCGGAUGCCGGUGGAUACUGUCGGGCUUGAGUACGGAAGAGGCGAGUGGAAUUCCUGGUGUAGCGGUGAAAUGCGCAGAUAUCAGGAGGAACACCUAUUGCGAAGGCAGCUCGCUGGGACGUAACUGACGCUGAGACGCGAAAGCGUGGGGAGCAAACAGG
This 253-nucleotide ribosomal RNA is filed under the name uncultured bacterium. Its description in RNAcentral is "partial 16S ribosomal RNA". It matches the Rfam family "Bacterial small subunit ribosomal RNA", at positions 524 to 776 of the family's 1533-position model. The record is from RNAcentral.